Obba rivulosa is the source of this 98-nucleotide non-coding RNA. The record is from the annotation of a GenBank genome assembly. Lineage: Eukaryota; Fungi; Basidiomycota; Agaricomycetes; Polyporales; Gelatoporiaceae.
GGCACUAUAGUGUAGUGGUCUAUCACUCGGGAUUUUGACACUGUCAUCUUCGUCAGCAAUAAUUUCCCGGAACCCAGGUUCGAACCCUGGUAGUGCCU